GGCCCCGUAGCUCAGUGGAUAGAGCACCGGCCUUCUAAGCCGAUGGUCGCAGGUUCGAAUCCUGCCGGGGUCGCCA
RNAcentral lists this transfer RNA (76 nucleotides) under Afifella marina. Its description in RNAcentral is "tRNA-Arg". It matches the Rfam family "tRNA". From Rfam's summary of the family: Transfer RNA (tRNA) molecules are approximately 80 nucleotides in length. Their secondary structure includes four short double-helical elements and three loops (D, anti-codon, and T loops). RNAcentral also lists the same sequence under 31 other names. The record is from RNAcentral. Lineage: Bacteria; Pseudomonadati; Pseudomonadota; Alphaproteobacteria; Hyphomicrobiales; Afifellaceae.